CGCACUGGGCAUGGGAUGGAACCCCAUGGACCAAGUAUCAGCCCAUUCCCUACUUUGAUAUAACAGCCUUCUCUUAUGGCCAAGACCUCUGAAUCAGCCAGUGAGCAAGAGCACGGAAUUAAGAUAAAGAAAACAAGCAAAAUUAACUGAAGAAAAAGGAGUUUGAUUUUUGUGAAGUACUUAGCCAUCUGUGACACUCUUCUUUUAAGGUGAUGAGCAUUUAAUGUAUAAUGUGUAUUCUGACUGAAUUUCUCUU
Pelodiscus sinensis (Chinese soft-shelled turtle) is the source of this 256-nucleotide non-coding RNA. The record is from RefSeq and is a predicted model, not a curated record. NCBI's taxonomy places the organism in Eukaryota, Metazoa, Chordata, Testudines, Trionychidae.